GGCGAGAUGGCCGAGCGGUCUAAGGCGCCAGACUAAGGAUCAGUCAACAUCUGUUGACAACCGUGGGAAUAACCUUCCUAAUCUGGUCCUCCGGGGCGUGGGUUCGAAUCCCACUCUCGUCA
Non-coding RNA from Schizophyllum amplum, 122 nucleotides. The record is from the annotation of a GenBank genome assembly. NCBI's taxonomy places the organism in Eukaryota, Fungi, Basidiomycota, Agaricomycetes, Agaricales, Schizophyllaceae.